Molecule: long non-coding RNA, 397 nt
Organism: Thamnophis elegans (Western terrestrial garter snake)
Lineage: Eukaryota; Metazoa; Chordata; Lepidosauria; Squamata; Natricidae
Exons: 5
Source: RefSeq, a predicted model, not a curated record
CGGAGACAUAUAAAGCCUUGAGAGGGCUCGCGCGCUCUUUCGCUUGUACGUUCGGAGCGUGACCUGAUAACUACUAUUAAAAUGAAGAUGAAAUUCAGAGAGCAGCUGGGACGCAUUUGGCAUUGGAUCUUGAGUUUCUAAUUCCUAACAUGCAUCAACAGUGAUAUGGGAGAAGUCUUAAGACCAAUGACAGCCAUUAUGUCUGCUGAAAAAAAGUGUUGAAGUCGAAGGGAAACGUAAUCUGAAGUUGGCUUGGCAGAAGUUAGCAUCAUGCAUGAACUCUGAAGAUUUGAAGAAAAUCAGCGCAUUAAAAAUGUACAACUCUUUAUUAAUACCAGAAUGUGUUGUAAUUGUGGCCCUAUGCAAUAAGUUAUAAAAAUAAAGAUUUAAUGCACCA